GUAUUGUAUGAAAGGAGAGAAUGUUAGCUCUCCCCUUGACAAGGAUGGAAGAAGCUUCAGCCUGCAACACACAUAUGGUUAAGGCAUUGCCACCUAUUUCAUGGCAUCUAACCACCAUUCUUA
Small nuclear RNA from Erinaceus europaeus (western European hedgehog), 123 nucleotides. The record is from Ensembl. Lineage: Eukaryota; Metazoa; Chordata; Mammalia; Eulipotyphla; Erinaceidae.